RNAcentral lists this transfer RNA (77 nucleotides) under Neiella marina. RNAcentral describes it as "tRNA-Arg". It matches the Rfam family "tRNA". From Rfam's summary of the family: Transfer RNA (tRNA) molecules are approximately 80 nucleotides in length. Their secondary structure includes four short double-helical elements and three loops (D, anti-codon, and T loops). Lineage: Bacteria; Pseudomonadati; Pseudomonadota; Gammaproteobacteria; Alteromonadales; Echinimonadaceae. The record is from RNAcentral. RNAcentral also lists the same sequence under 3 other names.
GACCCCAUAGCUCAGCUGGAUAGAGCAUCUGCCUUCUAAGCAGACGGUCGCAGGUUCGAAUCCUGCUGGGGUCGCCA